GGAAGUUAGUGAUGGGAGUCUCAGAGCACCCAUAUGGUGGUGGUCGUAGUGGUGGUGCGUGAGGGAGUAUGGAAUUCGGGGUUGGAAAUUGGAGAUGAGGUUGUGGGCGUCUCAGAGCAUCCAUUUGGUAAACCUCAUUUUCUCCAAUUUCGUUAAUAAAUCCUAAUCCUAGUAUACUAUCUUAUUUAAAUAAUAAAAAAGUAAAUAACUAAUUUUUUACUAUAAUUACAAAUUUUUCAAAGUGGUGGUGCGUGAGGGAGUAUGGAAUUCGGGGUUGGAAAUUGGAGAUGAGGUUGUGGGCGUCUCAGAGCAUCCAUUUGGUAGACCUCAUUUUCUCCAAUUUCGUUAAUAAAUCCUAAUCCUAGUAUACUAUCUUAUUUAAAUAAUAAAAAAGUAAAUAACUAAUUUUUUACUAUAAUUACAAAUUUUUCAAAAAAAAAAAUACAAAAAAGUUUUAAAUAAAUAAUUAAAAAUAAAAAUUUUAAAAUCAUUUAUCUUCUUCUCCCACCACCACCA
Molecule: long non-coding RNA, 516 nt
Filed under: Olea europaea (common olive)
Lineage: Eukaryota; Viridiplantae; Streptophyta; Magnoliopsida; Lamiales; Oleaceae
Description: long non-coding RNA (OEUR_LNC012108)
Source: RNAcentral